Molecule: ribosomal RNA, 469 nt
Filed under: uncultured bacterium
Lineage: Bacteria
Description: bacterial SSU rRNA
Rfam family: Bacterial small subunit ribosomal RNA
Source: RNAcentral
GAUGAACGCUAGCUACAGGCUUAACACAUGCAAGUCGAGCGGCAGCACAGUGUAGCAAUACAUGGGUGGCGACCGGCGCACGGGUGCGUAACGCGUAUCCAACCUUCCCGUUACUCUUGGAUAGCCUUCCGAAAGGGAGAUUAAUACAAGAUGGUAUUCAAAUUCCGCAUGUUAUUUGAAUUAAAGAUUUAUCGGUAACGGAUGGGGAUGCGUGACAUUAGGUAGAUGGCGGGGUAACGGCCCACCAAGGCGACGAUCGUUAGGGGUUCUGAGAGGAAGGUCCCCCACACUGGAACUGAGACACGGCCCAGACUCCUACGGGAGGCAGCAGUGGGGAAUAUUGCACAAUGGGGGAAACCCUGAUGCAGCAACGCCGCGUGAGGGAAGACGGUUUUCGGAUUGUAAACCUCUGUCCUCUGUGAAGAAGAAAGUGACGGUAGCAGAGGAGGAAGCCACGGCUAACUACGUG